GGUGGGGUUCCCGAGCGAUCAUAAGGGAGCUGACUACAAAUCUGCCGUCAUCGACUUCGAAUCCUUCCCCCACCACCA
Molecule: transfer RNA, 78 nt
Filed under: Salmonella enterica subsp. enterica serovar Dublin
Lineage: Bacteria; Pseudomonadati; Pseudomonadota; Gammaproteobacteria; Enterobacterales; Enterobacteriaceae
Description: tRNA-Cys
Source: RNAcentral